ACGUACACUCCUGCGGGAGGCAGCAGUGGGGAAUAUUGGACAAUGGGCGCAAGCCUGAUCCAGCCAUGCCGCGUGAGUGAUGAAGGCCCUAGGGUUGUAAAGCUCUUUCACCGGUGAAGAUAAUGACGGUAACCGGAGAAGAAGCCCCGGCUUACUUCGUGCCAGCAGCCGCGGUAAUACGAAGGGGGCUAGCGUUGUUCGGAUUUACUGGGCGUAAAGCGCACGUAGGCGGACUAUUAAGUCAGGGGUGAAAUCCCGGGGCUCAACCCCGGAACUGCCUUUGAUACUGGUAGUCUUGAGUUCGAGAGAGGUGAGUGGAAUUCCGAGUGUAGAGGUGAAAUUCGUAGAUAUUCGGAGGAACACCAGUGGCGAAGGCGGCUCACUGGCUCGAUACUGACGCUGAGGUGCGAAAGCGGGGGGAGCAAACAGGAUUAGAUACCCCGGUAGUCC
Molecule: ribosomal RNA, 450 nt
Filed under: uncultured organism
Description: partial 16S ribosomal RNA
Rfam family: Bacterial small subunit ribosomal RNA
Source: RNAcentral